GGCUGGAGAUCAGUGGUAGAAUGCUUGCCUAACAUGUAUGAGGCACUGGGUUCAAUUCUCAGCACCA
Molecule: transfer RNA, 67 nt
Filed under: Marmota monax (woodchuck)
Lineage: Eukaryota; Metazoa; Chordata; Mammalia; Rodentia; Sciuridae
Description: tRNA.Val
Source: RNAcentral